This 386-nucleotide unclassified non-coding RNA is filed under the name Hevea brasiliensis (rubber tree). Lineage: Eukaryota; Viridiplantae; Streptophyta; Magnoliopsida; Malpighiales; Euphorbiaceae. The record is from RNAcentral.
GCCUAUCAGCAGUAUAUUGUCAUAUCUUCUUUGCGGCCUCAAUAUCGAUAUCUAGGAGAUGUUGCAAUUCCCUACGCUACAGGAGCUGUUUGGCACCGGAGACAACUUUUUGUGGCUACACCAACUACUAUUGAAUGUGUUUUUGUGGAUGCUGGAGUUGCAGCGAUUGAUAUAGAAACAAGAAGAAUGAAAGAAGAGAUGAGAAUGAAAGAGGCACAGGCCAGAGCAGUCGUUGAACAUGGAGAGUUAGCCCUAAUCACAGUAGAAGGUCCACAAACUACUACACAAGAGAGAAUAAAACUAAGGCCACCUAUGCUACAGGUGGUUCGUUUAGCUUCUUUUCAGCAUGUUCCUUCUGUGCCACCUUUCUUGACAUUGCCAAAGCA